GCCGAAGUGGUGAAACUGGUAGACGCGCUGGACUCAAAAUCCAGUGGGGGCAACCCCGUGCCGGUUCGAUUCCGGCCUUCGGUA
Molecule: transfer RNA, 84 nt
Filed under: Spirochaetia bacterium
Lineage: Bacteria; Pseudomonadati; Spirochaetota; Spirochaetia
Description: tRNA-Leu
Rfam family: tRNA
About the family: Transfer RNA (tRNA) molecules are approximately 80 nucleotides in length.
Source: RNAcentral